CAAACUGCUGAACUUGCGAUUAGCAGCCUAACACAGAACCACUAUGUCAUCAGGGCUCCCUAUUCUUGGGAUGGUUUAUACUUUGAAAUGUCAGCUGACCUUGAUAAUUUACCUUCUCAACUUAUUUUUUGUUUUUUGAAUUAGGUUUAACUCAGAAGAAGGUAGGUGAAAAAUAUGAUUUUCCCAUACGUUUGAAUGAAGCUUCCAAAAAAAUUAAGAAGAAAAAGAAAAAGGUUUCAGUCUGGAAUGGAGUCUGCAAAUUCAUAUCUAGAAUGCUUGAAGAAAAUGAAAAAUAUCGACGCAGACUGAGUUCCCAGCGACUAGCUAGUGGCAGUUCAAAUCACUCAAGAUGAAUCUUAUCUUCCACUGAACUCAUCUGUCUGGAUCUGUUUGUCAAAGAAAGAUUAUGAAGAGUUUAAAGAUGGAAGAUUCAACUGAAUUGUAAAUUUUUGGAUAAUUUUGUUUUAUGUUGUUAAAAUUAGAACUUUAAUCAUUGUAUGGAAAAGUGACC
Echinops telfairi (small Madagascar hedgehog) is the source of this 511-nucleotide long non-coding RNA. RefSeq lists it as uncharacterized. The transcript has 4 exons. NCBI's taxonomy places the organism in Eukaryota, Metazoa, Chordata, Mammalia, Afrosoricida, Tenrecidae. The record is from RefSeq and is a predicted model, not a curated record.